AUUGAACGCUGGCGGCAGGCUUAACACAUGCAAGUCGAGCGGGGUGAUGGUGCUUGCACUAUCACUUAGCGGCGGACGGGUGAGUAAUGCUUAGGAAUCUGCCUAUUAGUGGGGGACAACAUCUCGAAAGGGAUGCUAAUACCGCAUACGUCCUACGGGAGAAAGCAGGGGAUCACUUGUGACCUUGCGCUAAUAGAUGAGUCUAAGUCGGAUUAGCUAGUUGGUGGGGUAAAGGCCUACCAAGGCGACGAUCUGUAGCGGGUCUGAGAGGAUGAUCCGCCACACUGGGACUGAAACACGGCCCAGACUCCUACGGGAGGCAGCAGUGGGGAAUAUUGGACAAUGGGGGGAACCCUGAUCCAGCCAUGCCGCGUGUGUGAAGAAGGCCUUAUGGUUGUAAAGCACUUUAAGCGAGGAGGAGGCUCUUUUGGUUAAUACCCAAGAUGAGUGGACGUUACUCGCAGAAUAAGCACCGGCUAACUCUGUGCCAGCCGCCGCGGUAA
This 503-nucleotide ribosomal RNA is filed under the name uncultured bacterium. RNAcentral describes it as "partial 16S ribosomal RNA". It matches the Rfam family "Bacterial small subunit ribosomal RNA", at positions 30 to 523 of the family's 1533-position model. The record is from RNAcentral.